Molecule: ribosomal RNA, 253 nt
Filed under: uncultured bacterium
Lineage: Bacteria
Description: partial 16S ribosomal RNA
Rfam family: Bacterial small subunit ribosomal RNA
Source: RNAcentral
UACGAAGGGGGCUAGCGUUGCUCGGAAUCACUGGGCGUAAAGCGCACGUAGGCGGAUUUUUAAGUCAGGGGUGAAAUCCUGGAGCUCAACUCCAGAACUGCCUUUGAUACUGGGAAUCUAGAGUCCGGAAGAGGUGAGUGGAACUCCGAGUGUAGAGGUGAAAUUCGUAGAUAUUCGGAAGAACACCAGUGGCGAAGGCGGCUCACUGGUCAGGUACUGACGCUGAGGUGCGAAAGCGUGGGGAGCAAACAGG